UGGGGAAUUUUGGACAAUGGGGGAAACCCUGAUCCAGCCAUCCCGCGUGUGCGAUGAAGGCCUUCGGGUUGUAAAGCACUUUUGGCAGGAAAGAAACGUCAUGGGUUAAUACCCCGUGAAACUGACGGUACCUGCAGAAUAAGCACCGGCUAACUACGUGCCAGCAGCCGCGGUAAUACGUAGGGUGCAAGCGUUAAUCGGAAUUACUUGGCGUAAAGCGUGCGCAGGCGGUUCGGAAAGAAAGAUGUGAAAUCCCAGAGCUCAACUUUGGAACUGCAUUUUUAACUACCGGGCUAGAGUGUGUCAGAGGGAGGUGGAAUUCCGCGUGUAGCAGUGAAAUGCGUAGAUAUGCGGAGGAACACCGAUGGCGAAGGCAGCCUCCUGGGAUAACACUGACGCUCAUGCACGAAAGCGUGGGGAGCAAACAGG
RNAcentral lists this ribosomal RNA (429 nucleotides) under Acidobacteriota bacterium. RNAcentral describes it as "Acidobacteria bacterium partial 16S ribosomal RNA". It matches the Rfam family "Bacterial small subunit ribosomal RNA", at positions 355 to 776 of the family's 1533-position model. The record is from RNAcentral. Lineage: Bacteria; Pseudomonadati; Acidobacteriota.